Molecule: ribosomal RNA, 292 nt
Filed under: uncultured Dyadobacter sp.
Lineage: Bacteria; Pseudomonadati; Bacteroidota; Cytophagia; Cytophagales; Spirosomataceae
Description: partial 16S ribosomal RNA
Rfam family: Bacterial small subunit ribosomal RNA
Source: RNAcentral
AUGCAACCUACCUAUCACUGGGGGAUAGCCCGGGGAAACCCGGAUUAAUACCGCAUAACACAGGGGCUCCACAUGGAGAUAUUUGUUAAAGAUUUAUCGGUGGUAGAUGGGCAUGCGUUCGAUUAGCUAGUUGGCGGGGUAACGGCCCACCAAGGCGACGAUCGAUAGGGGAGCUGAGAGGUUGAUCCCCCACACGGGCACUGAGAUACGGGCCCGACUCCUACGGGAGGCAGCAGUAGGGAAUAUUGGGCAAUGGAUGCAAGUCUGACCCAGCCAUGCCACGUGCCGGAUG